GAUGAAGAACGUAGCGAAAUGCGAUAAGUAAUGUGAAUUGCAGAAUUCAGUGAAUCAUCGAAUCUUUGAACGCACCUUGCGCCCUUUGGCCAUUCCGAAGGGCAUGCCUGUUUGAGUAUCAUGAACACCUCAACUCUUCAUGGUUUUCCGUGAUGAGCUUGGACUUUGGGGGUCUUGCUGGCCUAUGGUCAGCUCCUCUAAAAUAAAUAAGCUUGCCAGUGUUUGGUGGGUAUCACAGGUGUGAUAACUAUCUACGCUUGUGGUUUUCCACCAGGUAACCUUCAGCAGUGGAGGUUCGCUGGAGCUCACAGAUGUGUCUCUCCUCAGUGAGGACAGCUCUUUGAAUGUUUGAUCUCAAAUCAGGUAGGACUACCCGCUGAACUUAAGCAUAUCAAUAAGCGGAGGA
This 406-nucleotide unclassified non-coding RNA is filed under the name soil metagenome. Its description in RNAcentral is "partial contains 5.8S ribosomal RNA, internal transcribed spacer 2, and large subunit ribosomal RNA". The stretch from base 1 to 121 matches the Rfam family "5.8S ribosomal RNA", at positions 35 to 154 of the family's 154-position model. The record is from RNAcentral.